Molecule: ribosomal RNA, 884 nt
Filed under: Lactiplantibacillus plantarum
Lineage: Bacteria; Bacillati; Bacillota; Bacilli; Lactobacillales; Lactobacillaceae
Description: bacterial SSU rRNA
Rfam family: Bacterial small subunit ribosomal RNA
Source: RNAcentral
UUAAUUUGAGAGUUUGAUCCUGGCUCAGGACGAACGCUGGCGGCGUGCCUAAUACAUGCAAGUCGAACGAACUCUGGUAUUGAUUGGUGCUUGCAUCAUGAUUUACAUUUGAGUGAGUGGCGAACUGGUGAGUAACACGUGGGAAACCUGCCCAGAAGCGGGGGAUAACACCUGGAAACAGAUGCUAAUACCGCAUAACAACUUGGACCGCAUGGUCCGAGCUUGAAAGAUGGCUUCGGCUAUCACUUUUGGAUGGUCCCGCGGCGUAUUAGCUAGAUGGUGGGGUAACGGCUCACCAUGGCAAUGAUACGUAGCCGACCUGAGAGGGUAAUCGGCCACAUUGGGACUGAGACACGGCCCAAACUCCUACGGGAGGCAGCAGUAGGGAAUCUUCCACAAUGGACGAAAGUCUGAUGGAGCAACGCCGCGUGAGUGAAGAAGGGUUUCGGCUCGUAAAACUCUGUUGUUAAAGAAGAACAUAUCUGAGAGUAACUGUUCAGGUAUUGACGGUAUUUAACCAGAAAGCCACGGCUAACUACGUGCCAGCAGCCGCGGUAAUACGUAGGUGGCAAGCGUUGUCCGGAUUUAUUGGGCGUAAAGCGAGCGCAGGCGGUUUUUUAAGUCUGAUGUGAAAGCCUUCGGCUCAACCGAAGAAGUGCAUCGGAAACUGGGAAACUUGAGUGCAGAAGAGGACAGUGGAACUCCAUGUGUAGCGGUGAAAUGCGUAGAUAUAUGGAAGAACACCAGUGGCGAAGGCGGCUGUCUGGUCUGUAACUGACGCUGAGGCUCGAAAGUAUGGGUAGCAAACAGGAUUAGAUACCCUGGUAGUCCAUACCGUAAACGAUGAAUGCUAAGUGUUGGAGGGUUUCCGCCCUUCAGUGCUG